This 567-nucleotide long non-coding RNA is filed under the name Struthio camelus australis. Its description in RNAcentral is "lncRNA (ENSSCUG00000015161.1)". The record is from RNAcentral. Lineage: Eukaryota; Metazoa; Chordata; Aves; Struthioniformes; Struthionidae.
GCUCGGGGGUCCCCUCCGCGGCUGCGCUCAGCCCGCGGUAGCCGCGCAUCUCAGCGGGACGGCGCAAAACCCGCCGCGUGGCUUUGUAACUCGUCUGCCGCUUCGUGACUGUCCCACCCAGGCCGAAUGGUGCUGCACCGAUAACAGUCUGCCGUGCGCUCAAGGAGGAAGACUGCUUUUCCUGUGCUCUUCAUGCCCUUGGAAAAAAUGGUAGACAGACUAAAACGCAGGGGUGAAGAACUUCAGAAAAGGAACUCGGGGGGUCACUCCUCCAGGAAAGCCACAAACCAACCAAGUUACUUUGGGGAACAGAGUACUCAGUGAAAAGAAAUGUCAUUCAUGAAACAAGAAAGUUACUGCAGUAUGAAAGGACCGGGAAUUUCUGACAAAAAAAAGGUUAAUAUGGUUUGAAUGAGACAAAUUCACUGCAGAUAACAAGCUGCUGAGCAGAGAUUUUAACGUCUCUCUUGUUUUUUAAAAAAAAUCCCAAAUCUUGGCAAAUUAAGGUACAGUACCAGCAAUGUACACACAGCUUGCAUGAGUAAAAUUGUGUCCAGGUUAGCAAAU